ACAAGUCAAUGUAAGGAAUUUAGAAGAAUCCUUCAGGUCAACUGGUUUUAUAUCAAACUAAAGCGUGGAAAAAUGAGCACCAGCUUUUCCAAGUUGUUUGGGGUACGGGACAAGUGCACUGUGGCUUCUUAUGGGUCUUCUGAAGGUUUCUUUGGCGCAGGAACAAGGUUAACAGUUCUUGAACCUAACCUGAAAAUCACGCCACCGAAAGUGACCUUGCUCAAACCUUCUCCACACGAGUGCACCAACCAGAAGAACGCCACGGAGAAGAAGAAGACUUUAGUGUGCGUGGCCACGGGCUUCUAUCCGGACCACGUCAGCGUGGUGUGGAAGGUCGACAAUGACGAGGUGAGCGGGGGUGUGGCCACAGACGCCCAGGCCCUGCGGAGCGGGGACCACUACAGCAUCACCAGCAGGUUGAGGGUCCCAGCCAGACGGUGGUUCCACCCCAACAGAAACUUCACGUGCGUGGUCAAGUUUUUCAACGGGAACGAAAGAGUCGACUAUCAGACGUCCAUCAACGGAGAAGGCUGGAGUCAGGAAGGCGCCGUGACACGAGAAAACUUCCUGAAGAUCUCGCAGACCGCCAAACUCUCCUACGGCGUCCUCAUCGCCAAGAGCUGCGUCUACGGCGCCUUCGUCGUCUUGCUGAUCUGGAAGCUUCGGGUCCCCUCGGGAAAAAGCGACUAACGAAGGGGCCGUCUUGCUGUUGGAUUGCGCUGUUGUUGCUGUUGUGUAACUUGUUGGGGGUUUUUUUGCACGUUUGCUCAAUAAAAGUCCGUGGUCGUGGUUUCGUUCAUCUUGAACAUGCACACAAAGCACAUCAUAUAACACAAUCCACACUUCAUGUCCAACAGUAGGAAGAAGCAAAGCUUAUUAAUCCGACCCCUCAUCCGUUUCAUAUCAGUUGCAAUGCAUUUGUUCACCUCCUGUAUUCCAGUGUGCCUAUAGUAAGUAUCUCGGAACGUGAUAAGGCAAUAUAGCCAUAUAGUGCAAUUGUAGUCAAGGUUUAUACCUACUGUAAAGAACUAUACAACAGACUUAAUGGUAGUAAUAAAUGGAUAAUAGAUCAUGGAUAAUAGAUGAUCAUAACAACUAUGUGCUUUGGUUUGCUUCAACAGAAACGCCACUGGAAUGCCAUUGAUAAUGUUGCAUGUUGGGGAAGUAUUUAAGAGUACUGCAGCAAGCCUUGUGCUGCUGCAAUGGAACUGUUUUACACGCCGCUGGCUGUGUAAAUGUUUUCUUUUGACGUCCUCGUCGUGCAGUAUCGCUGCGCGAAUCUUAACGAUGAUUUUUCUAACUCAACUUCAUUUGCCGGAGGAACACACAUUAGAACAGGGGUGUCAAACUCGUGCCAUGGAGGGCC
Molecule: non-coding RNA, 1366 nt
Organism: Dunckerocampus dactyliophorus (ringed pipefish)
Lineage: Eukaryota; Metazoa; Chordata; Actinopteri; Syngnathiformes; Syngnathidae
Source: the annotation of a RefSeq genome assembly